Gossypium hirsutum (cotton) is the source of this 145-nucleotide non-coding RNA. Lineage: Eukaryota; Viridiplantae; Streptophyta; Magnoliopsida; Malvales; Malvaceae. The record is from Rfam.
AGUUAAAAAUUUCAUCCAUUUGUACUAUUAAAAACUAUUGUGGUUGAUGAAAUAACAAGAUAGUGACACAUAACGUGUCAUGCGUAUCUCAUGCUGACGUAAAGGGAUAAAUUUUUAACCGUAGAAAUAGAUACAGUUUUUAACA